UUCAUAUACACUAUGACUCACAUAUGUGUCAUUUGUUCUUUUGCUUACUAUCAACUACAUGCCACUCGUCCAUAGUUUACUAUUGACUAGAUGCCACUCGUUCAUUAUUCAUCAUUUUCUCUACAUUAUAGGGUUCACAAGACUCGACCCAAUCCUCACCAAUCCUCUAUAUCCAAUAUCCAAUACAUGCCACAAUAUCAUCAA
Molecule: long non-coding RNA, 204 nt
Filed under: Ananas comosus (pineapple)
Lineage: Eukaryota; Viridiplantae; Streptophyta; Magnoliopsida; Poales; Bromeliaceae
Description: long non-coding RNA (ACOM_LNC010100)
Source: RNAcentral